Molecule: long non-coding RNA, 2646 nt
Organism: Oreochromis aureus
Lineage: Eukaryota; Metazoa; Chordata; Actinopteri; Cichliformes; Cichlidae
Source: Ensembl
GGAAAAAAACAGCGGUUUGUUUACUUCCUAUAUGAACGGGGACCGCCCACAGACUGCCUGAAUGAUUUCCGUAUGAUUAGUUUAGUUUUUUAUUGGAAAAAACCCCCGACAUCAAUCAGCUAUUUAAACGAACCAUGUUUACUUUAAUGUAAAAUCGCAACCUUAAAAAUCUAACCGAAUAAACAACUGUCGGUUAAGGUGCCUCGCAGCAGUCUCGGCUCCUCCGCUAAUCCGGAAAACUCCGGAAAGUUCUGGAGCCGGUAAAGAAGUUUGACCGGAACCGGCGCGCUCACUCAGAGUAGUUUUCACCGUGAUCGUGUUGGCGGUAAAGCGGAAAUGGCUGUUCUAACGUUUUCGUGGCCCUGCUGGAUUUCGAUGCUCGUUGUCGUCGCCAUCGCGUCCACUUUCGCCGGUGAGAUUUCGCCUUGGCGCCGAACCGAACCGUGUUUUGCUAUUCAUAACAUCACUGAACACUCCAAAACAAAUCACCCCCGCUGACUGUGAAAACGUCAUUAUGUGUGAUUAAGUAUUCGAAGCCUUUUAUUGGUUAAAAAAUGUUCCAAAAUCUCAAAGUUGUGGCGACGUCAGGUCAUCGUAGAUGGCGCAUUGGUCGGAGGUUUGGGAGCCGUUGAAUGGAAGAGUCGCGAGUUUAAACAUGAAGACUUGAGAUAGUUCCCUGCGGUGCUUACUUGUCAAACAUAUUGAGCCACAAACAACGUUCCUGUCAAAUGGGAGAAGCUGCUAUCAAUUUUCUGCUAAGAACUUUAAUAGACAUACAAAAAACGCCUUUCAAGAGUGCCAGUAUAUAACAUUUCUUUCAUUUUGUUAAGAUGUUUUAAUAGGGUAAAAAAGACGCAGGCACAAAUAUGCUUGCAAACAGGGCCGCCUCCAGACAUUUUCUUAGCCAUAUGGGGGCUCGUCCUAAGGCGACUAUUGUUGUGAUUUGGCGAUAUAUAAAUGAAAUUGAAUUGAACUGAACUGAAUAAGAAAACCCGAUAAGAUUUUGAAAUCCAUAAUAAAAUCCUCUCUCUUGUGCUCAGUCUGCCAUCGCUGUAAAAAACAAAACUGAUCCAUUGGAGUGAAUAGCGAUGACGCGACUGAUGCGUUGUAGUGUAUCAAAUCCCCCCACGGCCGAAAGAGUAGGAGGGCCGCCUCUUCAACGUCACACUGGAUGCUCAUAUUCACAGAAUUCCGGUAAACUAGGCGCCACAUGAGUUCUACUGAUAUGCCCAAAUAUCAAACUGCAAUAUUUACUUGGGGAGUUUACGCUCCACUGAUUAAAAAGGCAUUUUUGAAAUGUUUUUGGGAAAUGCAUCACUUGAACCUAUGCAACUCUGCAAAAGCGGAGCUCUGAGGAAAAUGAGUGUUAGGGACACACUAAGAAGAAGAAAAAUAUUUUCAUUUUGAAGGGUUUUUUUUAGAUCUUUGGGUUUGUCAACCAAAAAAAAUAAACAAACAAACAAACAAAAAACUGGUGCUCCAGAGUGGAAGGAGAGCAGACAGGAGGAUGAGUACACCCCCCAGGACUUGGGAUUUGGACAUUGAAGCCAAUGGUGGGUGUGAAACAUGAAGAUGUCAUGGGCCAGACAAAGACAGCUGAAUCUGGAAAGGACGUCACUCUGCCAUGUCAAGCUCCACACAACAACUGGAUAGGUGUAAAGUGGCGCAAAGCUGACCUGGGGGAAGAAUAUGUCUAUUUGAACCGCAGAGGGCAACCUCAGCCACAAGGGCAGCAUCCAUCUUUUAAGAACUGGGUGGAUCUGCAGGACAGACAGAUGAAAUAUGGAGACCUGUCUUUGACCCUUAAGAAUGUCACGAGGAAUAACACUGGAACAUACGAGUGUCUUGUCUUCGAGGAAGAAACAGACUCGUGGAAAUCACUGAGCAACAUCAGCCUGACUGUUGUUGAUCCUCCAGGUCACACAGGAGGACACACAGAGGAUGGAUCUGUUGGACUCAUAGUUGGACUGACAGUUUGUACUUUGUUGCUCUUUGCAGUCAUUGCUGGGAUAAUUUAUAAAUUCGUUACAUGCAAGGAGAAGAAUUCUCAUGACCUUCCUGCUUCAGAAGUUUGUCUGAAGAAAACCAUUUUUUCCUUUAACCCCGUGUAACGGAAAGAGACGGAGACAGAUUGUUUUAUUUUUUCAUGAAUACAUGAACUGCACUCUGGGUUUGGACCCCUGAACAUCAGACAAACCAGAGUUUCCCACAGCAUCAUCCUGUCAUUAAGAUGAUGACCACAGCAGCAUGAUGGACACAUCUCCGAGUUCCUGUAACUUCAACUUUUAGUGUGGAUAAAACACAUGAUCAACGGGGCGUGGAGAGAGCUUAACUUUCCUGGUACAAUUAUAAACUGUAUAAAUGAAGGACUUGGACACGGUGACACCAACCUUUGGCUAGACUCCACAUUUUAAAGCCUCCGUGUGUGGGUUGAUAAGUUUAUCUCCAGCAUCCAGGUGGAUGUUAAAAAAGAAAAUCACCCCUGUAGAGUUUGUAUAAAGUAAGAAACUGUCAACAGAGAAUGAACCUGUUUUUAUACCUGUGCAAAGGUGGACAUUUGAACAUGUAUGUACUUAUUUAUGGAGAAAUCUAGUCAUGAAAUCUGUUGUGCAGUAUUUAAGAUGCUAAAAACAUGCUAAUAUAUGA